UUUAACCUAAUUUUGUUUACAGAGAAGAGAAGAAAACAUAGGUUCGAGGUAUUUUCAGGGGAAAUCAGAGACGAUGGAAUCAAAAAAAGUGGGGAUAAUCGGAGCCGGAAUAAGCGGACUUGCAGCUUGCAAAUUCAUUCUAUCCAAAGGAUUGAUUCCGAUUGUGUUGGAGGCCAGAGACGACAUUGGCGGCGUUUGGACGGAGACGCUGCAGACGACGACGCUACAGACGCCGAAAG
Molecule: unclassified non-coding RNA, 239 nt
Filed under: Hevea brasiliensis (rubber tree)
Lineage: Eukaryota; Viridiplantae; Streptophyta; Magnoliopsida; Malpighiales; Euphorbiaceae
Source: RNAcentral